AACGAACGCUGGCGGCAUGCCUAACACAUGCAAGUCGAACGAGACCUUCGUGUCUAGUGGCCCACGGGUGCGUAACGCGUGGGAACCUGCCCUUAGGUUCGGAAUAACUCCCCGAAAGGGGUGCUAAUACCGGAUAAUUUCUUCGGACCAAAGAUUUAUCGCCUUUGGAUGGGCCCGCGUUGGAUUAGCUAGUUGGUAGGGUAAAAGCCUCCCAAGGCGACGAUCCAUAGCUGGUCUGAGAGGAUGAUCAGCCACACUGGGACUGAGACACGGCCCAGACUCCUACGGGAGGCAGCAGUGGGGAAUAUUGGAAAAUGGGCGAAAGCCUGAUCAAGCAAUGCCGCGUGAGUGAUGAAGGCCUUAGGGUUGUAAAGCUCUUUUACCCGGGAUGAUAAUGACAGUACCGGGAGAAUAAGCUCCGGCUAACUCCGUG
Molecule: ribosomal RNA, 433 nt
Filed under: uncultured bacterium
Lineage: Bacteria
Description: partial 16S ribosomal RNA
Rfam family: Bacterial small subunit ribosomal RNA
Source: RNAcentral